UGCGUAGGCGGAAUGAUAAGUUAGUGGUGAAAGCCCCCGGCUCAACCGGGGAACUGCCAUUAAUACUGUCAUUCUUGAGUAUAGUUGAGGUGGGCGGAAUGUAUCAUGUAGCGGUGAAAUGCUUAGAUAUGAUACAGAACACCGAUAGCGUAGGCAGCUUGCUAAACUAUAACUGACGCUCAGGCACGAAAGCGUGGGGAGCAAACAGGAUUAGAUACCCUGGUAGUCC
This 229-nucleotide ribosomal RNA is filed under the name uncultured bacterium. Its description in RNAcentral is "partial 16S ribosomal RNA". It matches the Rfam family "Bacterial small subunit ribosomal RNA", at positions 568 to 796 of the family's 1533-position model. The record is from RNAcentral.